AAACUGCGGAGGGAUCAUUA
RNAcentral lists this ribosomal RNA (20 nucleotides) under Colletotrichum fioriniae. RNAcentral's name for it is "partial 18S ribosomal RNA". Lineage: Eukaryota; Fungi; Ascomycota; Sordariomycetes; Glomerellales; Glomerellaceae. The record is from RNAcentral.